CCAGUACAUUGUUAGAGUAACUAAGAAAUACUAGUACAUGCAUCCUUCUUACUGAGAGAUGUUUUUGCACGUACAAUACUUCUUCUUUAAAUCUUCUUUCAGUGCCUCAAGGAAAUCUCAACACACUGAUUUUUCCAUAAUCUGGAUGCUUGUUGAGAAUUUACAAUAUGCUUUAAUAACAAAUAAGUUUAUGAAGAUCCAUGCAGUGUUUGAGGCAGUCAUUGCUCAAAAAACAAAGCCUCAGCAACACGAAUACAAUGGUCAUCAUCACAUUUAUAGAAAAUACCUCAAUUUUCCAGGCCUUCAUAAUUACCCUUCACACACACAAAAACCUUACCUCAGCAACUACCUCACAAGGAACUAACAUGAAGUUUACCACAGGUGGGCCCCUUGCUAGGGGUGGUAAUAAGAAGCAGAUGAGAAAGAAUAGGAAACCAAUGAUUUAUAAGAGAAAUUGCCAAGUGAAGUCUGAACCUAUUUUACAGUUGAAGUAAAUUGGCUUGUUUGGGAACCGCCAAAUAAGAGCUAGUGAGAUCAGAUUGCUUCAUACGCUACUUGCAGUUAGCUACAUCAGAAUGAGAAGUGGAAAUAAAGCAAAAUAAUUGGCUCCCCAGCACAGCACACAUCCCCUCCAAGGUGGGACUGCUCUAGGAGUAAGUCUGGGUUGCACAGCUGAGCAGGCUGGUGUCUUUGGGAUCCCUGCAGCUGUAGGAUUAAACAUUUCAAUAAAUAAUGUUCCAUGUAAAAGGAUGAUGAAAUUCACAGACUGCCACAUCGAUGAAGUUAUAAACCUUUCCGUAACUACUCAUGCAAAAUCUGCACAAGUUCAGCGAUGGUUAAUGGUUCAAGAGGAUCCCCAAAGGAGCAUGCCAGAAUUCUCUCACACAAGACAGAAAAGAAUGGGAUUGCAGAUCUGAAAGCUGCAGGAAAACAGACAGCUAUGGUGAUCGUAUUCAGGUGGCCAGUUGGAUUUUGCAUUGGUUCAUUAUGCGCAGAAUCCCAGGAACUAUCACAGAAAAUGGAGCAUGCAUUUUGUGUAUACAGAUAUGGGUAUGCAAUUCCAAAAGUCUGUGUCUGUAUGAUCUGCCAGCGUCUGUAUGUGUGCCUAAUAAUGCUUACCCUUAUAUACCCUUAUACCUAUAAGCCUACUACAGCUUGAAUUGUGGGACUAUUUAGGACUUCGAGAAGUCUCAGGGGAAGCAUUGCUGGUGCAAUCAUGUAUUUUAUUUCGAGCAUGCAAAAUCUUCUAUCUGCAGUGGCAAACACAGUAGCCCACAGGCUGAGACUACCAAAAUUUAGUGGUUUUUUUGGUAAUUCCUACUAGUUAUUUUGCAGCCAUUUCUUUUAAUAUUUACUAUGAAGUCUAGGGACGUUUGUGUUGUCCCUAUAUGUCCAGACACCACAAAUGUAUUUUUUUUUUAAAUGCCCACAGUUUAGUUACAUUUCACUUUUGUUUAGGAAUGCAGAGUGCUCGUGUUGAGAUUUAGCAAGAAAAGAGAUAGUAAAUGUCAAACAAAAGUAAUACCUGAAAGGAAAUAAAACAAAUAAUUCAAAAUACUUGUUUAAAAAG
This is a long non-coding RNA of Numida meleagris (helmeted guineafowl), 1570 nucleotides long. The record is from Ensembl. Lineage: Eukaryota; Metazoa; Chordata; Aves; Galliformes; Numididae.